RNAcentral lists this ribosomal RNA (1962 nucleotides) under human gut metagenome. RNAcentral's name for it is "bacterial LSU rRNA". It matches the Rfam family "Bacterial large subunit ribosomal RNA", at positions 1 to 1990 of the family's 2925-position model. The record is from RNAcentral.
GAAAGUAAGUAAGGGCGUAUGGGGGAUGCCUAGGCUCUUGGAGGCUAAGAAGGACGUGGUAAGCUGCGAAAAGCUGCGGGGAUUUGCAAACGAGACUCGAUCCGCAGAUAUCCGAAUGGGACAACCCGGCAGGUAGAAGACCUGUCACACCGCGAGGUGAGCUAACCCUCUGAACUGAAACAUCUAAGUAGGAGGAGGAAAAGAAAGAAACAUCGAUUUCCAAAGUAGCGGCGAGCGAAAUGGAAGAAGCCCAAACCGAUAUUGUUACGGCAAUAUCGGGGUUGUAGGACUGCAAUAUUCAAUUAACAAUGAACUGGAAUGGUCUGGAAAGUCCAUCCAUAGAGAGUGAAAGGCUCGUACAGGUAAGUUUGUUAUGCGAUAGCAGUAUCCUGAGUAUGGCGGGACACGAGGAAUCCUGUCAGAAUCAGCCGGGACCACCCGGUAAGGCUAAAUACUCCCAAGAGACCGAUAGUGGACCAGUACUGUGAAGGAAAGGUGAAAAGAACCCCGAACAGGGGAGUGAAAUAGAACCUGAAACCAUACGCUUACAACCGGUCGGAGCAGCUUCGUGCUGUGACGGCGUGCCUAUUGAAUAAUGAGCCUACGAGUUACUAAUCACUAGCGAGGUUAAGUGCAAGGAUGCACGGAGCCGAAGCGAAAGCGAGUCUGAACAGGGCGUUUAGUUAGUGGUUGUAGACGCGAAACCUUGCGAUCUACCCUUGAGCAGGUUGAAGGUUGGGUAAAACCAACUGGAGGACCGAACGAAUAAGCGUUGAAAAGCUUCUCGAUGACUUGAGGGUAGGGGUGAAAGGCUAAUCAAGCUGGGAAAUAGCUCGUACUCCCCGAAAUGCCUUUUGGGGCAGCGUUGUAAUAAAGAGUCUACUGGAGGUAGAGCUACUGAUUGGAUGCGGGGGCUUCACCGCCUACCAAAUCCUGACAAACUCCGAAUGCCAGUAGUAUGAUUUACAGCAGUGAGCGACCGGGUGCUAAUGUCCGGUUACGAGAGUGGAACAACACAGACCAGCAACUAAGGUCCCGAAGAAUAUGCUAAGUUGAUCUAACGAUGUUUUGUUGCAGAGACAGCUAGGAUGUUAGCUUGGAAGCAGCUAUUCAUUCAAAGAGUGCGUAACAGCUCACUAGUCGAGCGACAGAGCGUGGAUAAUAAACGGGCAUCAAGCAUAUCACCGAAGUUCUGGGCGCGAGAGCGCGGUAGGGGAGCAUUCCAUUCAGCGUCGAAGCAGUUUCGUGAGGAAUUGUGGAGCGUAUGGAAAAGCAAAUGUAGGCAUGAGUAACGAUAAUGCGGGAGAGUAACCCGCACACCGCAAGACCAAGGUUUCCUGAUCAACGCUAAUCGGAUCAGGGUUAGUCGGGUCCUAAGGGUAAGCCGAACGGCGAUCUCGAUGGAUAAUCGGUUAAUAUUCCGAUACUAACAUAUACCUCGAUGGAGAGACGAAGGAACGUAAGUGCCGCCACCUGACGGAAUAGGUGGUUAAAGGGCGUAGGUAUAGGGGCAGAUUAAGAGUUAGUCCUUGCUGAAACCUGACAGUACAGAGAGCCUACGGGCAAUUUGAUAGAGCACCCAAGUCGACUUCCGAGAAAAUCUUCUAAGUUAUAGUAUAUGUUACCCGUACCGUAAACCGACACAGGUGGUCGAGGAGAGUAUCCUAAGGUGCUCGAGUGAAUCACGGUUAAGGAACUAGGCAAAUUGACCCUGUAACUUCGGGAAAAGGGGUCCCUAUGAAAGUAGGGCGCAGCGAAGAGGUCCAGGCGACUGUUUAUCAAAAACACAGGGCUCUGCAAAUUCGAAAGAAGACGUAUAGGGCCUGACACCUGCCCGGUGCUGGAAGGUUAAGAGGGGAUGUCAUCGCAAGAGAAGCAUUGAAUCGAAGCCCCAGUAAACGGCGGCCGUAACUAUAACGGUCCUAAGGUAGCGAAAUUCCUUGUCGGGUAAGUUCCGACCUG